CCCUAGUAACUGCGAGUGAAGCGGGAAAAGCUCAAAUUUAAAAUCUGGCGGUCUUUGACUGUCCGAGUUGUAAUCUAGAGAAGUGUUAUCCGCGCUGGACCGUGUACAAGUCUCCUGGAAUGGAGCGUCAUAGAGGGUGAGAAUCCCGUCUUUGACACGGACUGCCAGGGCUUUGUGAUAUGCUCUCAAAGAGUCGAGUUGUUUGGGAAUGCAGCUCAAAAUGGGUGGUAAAUUCCAUCUAAAGCUAAAUAUUGGCGAGAGACCGAUAGCGAACAAGUACCGUGAGGGAAAGAUGAAAAGAACUUUGGAAAGAGAGUUAAACAGUACGUGAAAUUGCUGAAAGGGAAACGCUUGAAGUCAGUCGCGUUGUCCGGGGAUCAACCUUGCUUUUGCUGGGCGUACUUCCCGGUUAAUGGGUCAGCAUCAAUUUUGAUCGUUGGAUAAAGGUUAGGGGAAAGUGGCAUCUUCGGAUGUGUUAUAGCCCUUGGUCGCAUACAACGGUUGGGAUUGAGGAACUCAGCACGCCGCAAGGCCGGGUAUUUAUACCACGUUCGUGCUUAGGAUGCUGGCAUAAUGGCUUUAAUCGACCCGUCUUGAAACACGGACCAAGGAGUCUAACAUGCCUGCGAGUGUUUGGGUGGAAAACCCGAGCGCGUAAUGAAAGUGAAAGUUGAGAUCCCUGUCGUGGGGAGCAUCGACGCCCGGACCAGACCUUUUGUGACGGAUCCGCGGUAGAGCAUGUAUGUUGGGACCCGAAAGAUGGUGAACUAUGCCUGAAUAGGGUGAAGCCAGAGGAAACUCUGGUGGAGGCUCGUAGCGAUUCUGACGUGCAAAUCGAUCGUCAAAUUUGGGUAUAGGGGCGAAAGACUAAUCGAACCAUCUAGUAGCUGG
Molecule: ribosomal RNA, 891 nt
Filed under: Galerina atkinsoniana
Lineage: Eukaryota; Fungi; Basidiomycota; Agaricomycetes; Agaricales; Galerinaceae
Description: partial large subunit ribosomal RNA
Rfam family: Eukaryotic large subunit ribosomal RNA
Source: RNAcentral